RNAcentral lists this long non-coding RNA (161 nucleotides) under Sus scrofa (pig). Its description in RNAcentral is "lncRNA (ENSSSCG00005019294.1)". Lineage: Eukaryota; Metazoa; Chordata; Mammalia; Artiodactyla; Suidae. The record is from RNAcentral.
CAGUUCAAAGAGGGAGGCUCCAGGAGGGACUUCCUGUCUGGUGGGGACCAGUCCCAGGUGUCACCUGGCUCGGGGUGUUUUUGAGCGGCUUGGCCUCCCUUCUGGAGAGGAGGACAGAGGCUGAGGUCACAUCCUCACUGCCCUCCGGAGGCUGAGCAGAG